UAUGAGAGAUCAGAGCGAGCUUAUGAAACAAUGGCGCUCUAGUUCCGUUGCGGGCAUAUACUGAUUAUCAGUCCUUUCUUCAUCUCUGCAAUUGUAUUUUACUGAUCGAUUGCUUCUGUAGAGAAAGGUACCCUCUCGCUUAACCUCGGAUUACUUCAGUGCCGCAGCGUCUGGUAUUCGAACAUUGGCUCGAGGCACCUUAAAAAGUAGGAAAGGAUGACCUAGUUUGAUUUGGAACGAAGCGUCUGGUAUUCGAACAUUGGCUCGAGGCACCUUAAAAAGUAGGAAAGGAUGACCUAGUUUGAUUUGGAACGAAGCGUCUGGUAUUCGAACAUUGGCUCGAGGCACCUUAAAAAGUAGGAAAGGAUGACCUAGUUUGAUUUGGAACGAAGCGUCUGGUAUUCGAACAUUGGCUCGAGGCACCUUAAAAAGUAGGAAAGGAUGACCUAGUUUGAUUUGGAACGAAGCGUCUGGUAUUCGAACAUUGGCUCGAGGCACCUUAAAAAGUAGGAAAGGAUGACCUAGUUUGAUUUGGAACGAAGCGUCUGGUAUUCGAACAUUGGCUCGAGGCACCUUAAAAAGUAGGAAAGGAUGACCUAGUUUGAUUUGGAACGAAGUUUAAGAAAAGGAAGAACAUAUUUUAAUUUUGUGCUUCUAAAUUAAAGUUAUGUAAAUGUACAAAAAUGUUCUUUAAUGUUGUAGUUUUAAACAUGUAGUUAAAGUUUAAA
Molecule: long non-coding RNA, 728 nt
Organism: Solanum pennellii
Lineage: Eukaryota; Viridiplantae; Streptophyta; Magnoliopsida; Solanales; Solanaceae
Exons: 2
Source: RefSeq, a predicted model, not a curated record